UGUGAAGGUGUCUCUUGGGC
RNAcentral lists this non-coding RNA (20 nucleotides) under Rattus norvegicus (Norway rat). The record is from RNAcentral. Lineage: Eukaryota; Metazoa; Chordata; Mammalia; Rodentia; Muridae.